Molecule: long non-coding RNA, 1336 nt
Filed under: Chloebia gouldiae (Gouldian finch)
Lineage: Eukaryota; Metazoa; Chordata; Aves; Passeriformes; Passeridae
Description: Erythrura gouldiae (Gouldian finch) lncRNA (ENSEGOG00005003381.1)
Source: RNAcentral
GUAAAUCUCAAAAUCAGCUAAUUGAAAGGAUUCUUCAGAAAUUACUUUUUAAUAAAAGCAUCUAAUCAUGAAAACUAUUUGAAGAUGUAUCAUGCUGUAAUUCCUAAGGCAACACAACUUGAAUCGGCCAAGGGAUGAACAACCAGCACAAUGCUGGGAGUUUAUGUCCAGAUGUUUUCACCUAUUCUGCGCUGAAAUCUAUUAAGUCUUGGAGCAGUGGUGAGCACCACUGCGGUUAUAUUUGGAUAUUAAGAAACUUGGCUUUGAGCACCAAAUUUUACUCUAUUGAAAUGAGCUGCUAUAGGGAUUGUAAAACGUGACCUGGCCCGAACUGACAGUGGCAGAAGGCUCCGUGGUUUUGCCCCAUGGAAAGGCUCCUUUGGGUGAAGGGUGGCCCCCUGUGACAGCUUCGUCGCUGUAAGGAACCGCGGAAAACAGCGGGGUCACGCCGCGGAGCCGAGGGCUGGCGGCCACGGGGAGCGGGGAGGGCGCGGAGCCCCGGGGCCGCCGGUGCCGCGUCCUUCCCGCGUUACUCAGCCCGUGUGAUGACCCCGCUCCGCAGCGCGUCCCCGUCACUCGGCGGGGCUUACGAGGCACAGAGAUCCACGCCCGGCAGAGCUCCCCGGGCGCGGGGGAAACGCCCGAAGCGCAUUCCCCUCCACCUCCCGGAAACGGCGCCGUUUCCCCUUGGCGCGACCUCACUUCCUCCCGCGCUUCCGUCUCCGGGACGCGCCGGCUCCCGCUGCUGCCGCUGCCGCCGCCGCCGCUGCUCGGAGGCCGGAGGCGCCCGCCGGGCGGUGUCAUGAUGAGGAGCUUCUCAGAAACAGAAGUGGAUGAUGAGUGGAGAUGAAGAAAUCAUACAUUUAAGAAGUUGGCUCAAGUUUCCGUUACAGGCAUGGAAAGUUUCUGAGACCAAGCCAUGCGAGAAGAACAUGAGUAAAGAAGAGGGAGAUGUAGACCCAGACUUUCUAGAAGGGAUUGCAGGAUUUGAGAGGACGCUGCACAAAAGUCACGUAGUUUUCUUGCUUAUUCAUUUACCUGCACCCCUGAACUGUAAUACUUUGUUUGCAUGUCUGUUUGGAAGUUGAAAAAUCCCCUCACAUCUGUGUCUUUAAUAUAAUCGUGGCUUCAAGCUUGUUUUAGGAAGAGCAAAACAUCACUGUAGUUUUUAUUUGUGGAUGAGAUAGCUGCUGCUUUGUACUUGAAAUCAAUUUGGGGCUUUUUUUAUUUUUGAAAUACACAUUGAAUAUGGAAAAGCUCAGACCAUUACAAAAUAGGAAGUUAGGGGUUUUGCUUAUAUUUAAUAAACACCCUUUGCAUAGAAAGUCGGAUGACA